UACGCAGGAAUGUUCCGUGUCCAAGCUCCGCGUUUCGAUUGGAAUGCGCUCGAGGCGACGGCGCGGCAAGUGCGCGACAGGAACGCGGCAAGGCGACAUCAGCGGCGCCGGAAGAGACGCGACGGAGGUGAUGAUGACCAAAUUGGAUUCAGCAGCAAUUGACCUGUACAAGAUCGGAGGUUGACCACAUCCUCAGAGGCGCUGCAAAGAAGAAUUUUGCAUUGGCCACCUGGGCUGGGACGCACUUCAGGUUAUUUCAACUAACAUCCUAGACCAAUAUAUGUGUAAAAUCUACCUCACUCGGCAUCCAUUGCAGCCUGGUCAUCCCGGAAGGGGGAUUCCCCGACCCAUCUGCUGCCACUUCCCAAGGUUUCUAAGGUUUCCAUGGAUGUUUUCUUUUUUCCUGUCCUCGUGGGUGUUAAGGGGAUGUCAUUAAUAUGUGACAUCUGAGGUCAUGUAAUCCCUUUGAGACCUUUCUUUUAGGGCUGUAUAAUUAAAUUUGACUGAACUUGACCUAAAGUGUUACAGCAUCGCAACGUAGGUGUUACUUAGCAUUAGCAUUAAGCUAUCAGACUGAACGACGAAGACUUGGUGUUAUAGCAUCCCAACGUAGGCAUUACUUAGCAUUAGCAUUAAGCUAGCAGACUGAUAGACAAAGCUAUGUGUGUCUGUUUUUAUUUUGUUUAGUUUGGCAUUCAACACCCAGAAGCCUUUUUUUAAAGAAAUGUUGACUAUUUCAUAAAGUUCCUAAUCAUGAAGUAAGCAGAGUUUUAUUUUUAAACAAACAGUUUGAAAGGUGAGUCACUCCUAUCUCAAUGCAUUACAAUAAAUUCUUUUAGUCAUGUCUCAUUUAGGCCUUGAACAAAAAAAAAAAAAGUGUUGAGGAAACCCUGUAAACUCAACUAAGCGCCCGUGCAGAAAUCAUGAUGAAAUCUGGGACUCUGUUUAUUUUGUGACUCAUCUGGUACAAUGUUUUAAGAGCAAUACUGGCAAGCAUUUUGUCACUCCUCCCUCCUCGCAAUGCUGGUCUGCUUAUUUGGAUGUCAAUCUUUUGUCUUCUUUGUCCCUGCAAGACCGGUCUGUCCAGGCCUUUGUAGACUCACAUAUACGGAGAUAACCUAAGCUCUCAGUUGCUAUAGAAACAAUGUGAGGUAAACAUGUAAGAAAGUAAGUAAAAGAGAGUCCAGUGCAUCCAACUGGAACACACAACAGAUUGAAUUUCUUCACAAAACGGUGAUACACUCACCAAGGCCUAAGGGAUCCAUCCUGGCACAUAACUCAUCUGUACAAUAUUGAAAUAGAUGAUUAUAUUCCUUAAUGUGAGGACAAUUGAUGUUUGAAACGAAGUACACAUCCCGGAAUAGGAGGGUGUGGCUUUCAUUGAACAGAGAAAAA
Long non-coding RNA from Hippocampus zosterae (dwarf seahorse), 1395 nucleotides. RefSeq lists it as uncharacterized. The transcript is spliced from 2 exons. The record is from RefSeq and is a predicted model, not a curated record. Lineage: Eukaryota; Metazoa; Chordata; Actinopteri; Syngnathiformes; Syngnathidae.